Molecule: non-coding RNA, 126 nt
Organism: Triticum aestivum (bread wheat)
Lineage: Eukaryota; Viridiplantae; Streptophyta; Magnoliopsida; Poales; Poaceae
Source: Rfam
GUUCUACUCCCUCCGUCCGAAAAAGAUUGUCCCUCAAAUGGAUGUAUCUAGCACCAAGUUAGUGCUAGAUACAUCCAUUUGGGAGACAAGCUUGGGGCAAGCUUUUUCGGACGGAGGGAAUACAAU